UGCGUAGGCGGACCAGCAAGUGCUUUGUGAAAGCCCCCGGCUCAACCGGGGAACAGCGGGGCAUACUGCUGGUCUUGAGGAAGGUAGGGGUUGCCAGAACUGUAGGUGGAGCGGUGAAAUGCGUAGAUAUCUACAGGAAUGCCGAUGGUGAAGACGGGCAACUGGGCCUUUCCUGACGCUGAGGCACGAAAGCGUGGGGAGCAAACA
RNAcentral lists this ribosomal RNA (207 nucleotides) under uncultured bacterium. RNAcentral's name for it is "partial 16S ribosomal RNA". It matches the Rfam family "Bacterial small subunit ribosomal RNA", at positions 568 to 774 of the family's 1533-position model. The record is from RNAcentral.